This 73-nucleotide transfer RNA is filed under the name Felis catus (domestic cat). It matches the Rfam family "tRNA". From Rfam's summary of the family: Transfer RNA (tRNA) molecules are approximately 80 nucleotides in length. Their secondary structure includes four short double-helical elements and three loops (D, anti-codon, and T loops). RNAcentral also lists the same sequence under 4 other names. The record is from Rfam by way of RNAcentral. Lineage: Eukaryota; Metazoa; Chordata; Mammalia; Carnivora; Felidae.
GCCUGGCUGGCUCAGUCAGUAGAGCAUGUGACCCUUGAUCUCAGGGUCAUGAGUUCAAGUCCCAUGUUUGGGG